Molecule: long non-coding RNA, 1051 nt
Organism: Cyprinus carpio (common carp)
Lineage: Eukaryota; Metazoa; Chordata; Actinopteri; Cypriniformes; Cyprinidae
Source: Ensembl
CUUGAGGGCAACUGCCAACUUGAAGAUGAGUGAUAAACAUAUGGCUUUGCUGUCAAAUAGCAGGCAUGAUGAAUAGCCUACUCAAGGUGCUGUUUUCAGGAAACAGACUGUUCUUCAUGGUCAGGCCUGGAUCACUGUCAUCUCCGCGAAGGCCACUGAGCCCAAACACGUGCACCGGCUGACAAGUGUUCCACCUCUGCAUAAGGACAGUCAGCCCUCAUUCCUUUUGGAACACGAGCCCAGGGCUGAUUUAAUUGAAGUGGGCAGUGUAAGGACCGAAGUCAACACACACUCACAUUCAUGAAGGUCCAUGAAAUGAGCCGACUAAUGGAAGACCAGCUGGCUAGAUUCUUCAUAAAAUAGGGGUAAAUAAUUCAGCUUUAAAGAGAGAGUGUUCCUCAAAUAAUUUAAAAGGCUGUGGCUCAGCAGACUUCCAGUAGUUUACACAGUAGCAGCAGAAAAGUAGUUUUUCUCAUUCAAUGUCUAUGAGUACAAGUGAUUCACAACACACAAUUGAGUUUCCUUGACUGCCUCCAACCUGAACAAUGCAACAGAGUAGAAGCUAGCAUGUUCAAAUAUUAUAAAGGAAUGAUUUACAUUUAGUCAGUGAAUGUAAUAUAUGUGUGUGUGGACAAGAUUUUUCAAGAUUUUUCAUUUCACCAUUUCUGUUCCAGAAAGUGAUCCAGUUGCUAAAUCCAGAGUGAAAAAUUCAAUUCUCAUCUUCUCAUCCAUCAAGCUGGGCUCCAUUCAUAUUAAUGUGUCCCACGGUGAGAUCUGCUCAACAGCCUCCUUCGGUUUGGGCAUCUUGACUGAUUGGGAUUCCACCCCAAUGAAGAAAGAUCAUCUCCAGCCCAAUGAAGAAAGACAUCCCCACCCCCGCCCCCCUCCACAUUACUGGCCAAUUAAGAAGAUGAAAAAUAAAGUAAUUUCAGGGGGCAUCGAGAGCGAUUGCUAAUAGCAGUCAACAAUGAGAAUUGACAGCAGAUGGUACUGAUGGAUACUGUGCCUACACAACCUUCAGGAGACAUACGAGCACAUCUGUGCCCCUGGC